UAAUGUAUGGGGAUCUGCCCGAUAGAGGGGGGUAACUACUGGAAACGGUGGCUAAUACCGCAUAAUGUCUACGGACCAAAGCAGGGGCUCUUCGGACCUUGCACUAUCGGAUGAACCCAUAUGGGAUUAGCUAGUAGGUGGGGUAAAGGCUCACCUAGGCGGCGAUCUCUAGCUGGUCUGAGAGGAUGAUCAGCCACACUGGGACUGAGACACGGCCCAG
Molecule: ribosomal RNA, 220 nt
Filed under: uncultured bacterium
Lineage: Bacteria
Description: partial 16S ribosomal RNA
Rfam family: Bacterial small subunit ribosomal RNA
Source: RNAcentral